UACGUAGGGUGCGAGCGUUGUCCGGAAUUACUGGGCGUAAAGAGCUCGUAGGUGGUUUGUCACGUCGUCUGUGAAAUUCCGGGGCUUAACCUCGGGCGUGCAGGCGAUACGGGCAAUACUUGAGUGCUGUAGGGGAGACUGGAAUUCCUGGUGUAGCGGUGAAAUGCGCAGAUAUAAGGAGGAACACCAAUGGCGAAGGCAGGUCUCUGGGCAGUUACUGACGCUGAGGAGCGAAAGCAUGGGUAGCGAACCGGAUUAGAUACCCCGGUAGU
This 272-nucleotide ribosomal RNA is filed under the name uncultured prokaryote. RNAcentral's name for it is "partial 16S ribosomal RNA". It matches the Rfam family "Bacterial small subunit ribosomal RNA", at positions 524 to 794 of the family's 1533-position model. The record is from RNAcentral.